RNAcentral lists this small RNA (601 nucleotides) under uncultured fungus. RNAcentral describes it as "eukaryotic LSU rRNA". The stretch from base 213 to 367 matches the Rfam family "5.8S ribosomal RNA". The record is from RNAcentral. Lineage: Eukaryota; Fungi.
AAGUCGUAACAAGGUUUCCGUAGGUGAACCUGCGGAAGGAUCAUUAUUGAAUUACAAGCGAGGGUUGUCGCUGGCCUCUCGGGGCAUGUGCACGCCCGAGCCAUCCCCCCCAACAAACACCGUGGGCCUUCGGGCCCGCGUAUAUUUACUCUGAAUGUGUAUAGAAUGUAAACCAUUUGUUUGCCCUGAAAAAGCAAACGAAAAAAAAAUACAACUUUCAACAACGGAUCUCUUGGCUCUCGCAUCGAUGAAGAACGCAGCGAAAUGCGAUAAGUAAUGUGAAUUGCAGAUUUUCAGUGAAUCAUCGAAUCUUUGAACGCACCUUGCGCCCCUUGGUAUUCCGGGGGGCAUGCCUGUUUGAGUGUCAUUAAAUCCUCAACCGCGCCGAUUGAUUUCGGUGGGGCUUGGACUUUGGAGCGUGCUGGCGAAGGUCGGCUCCUCUUUAAAUGCAUCAGCGGAAGAAACCUUUGUCUUUCCUGCCUUCGGUGUGAUAAUUGUGUUGCGCCGCGGUGGAACUUCAACGAUCCGCUUACAACGGUCUUCGGACGAAACCUCAUGUCAUCUUGACCUCAAAUCAGGUAGGACUACCCGCUGAACUUAA